Molecule: ribosomal RNA, 253 nt
Filed under: uncultured bacterium
Lineage: Bacteria
Description: partial 16S ribosomal RNA
Rfam family: Bacterial small subunit ribosomal RNA
Source: RNAcentral
UACAGAGGUGGCAAGCGUUGUUCGGAAUUACUGGGCGUAAAGGGCGCGUAGGCGGCCCGGUAAGUCCGCUGUGAAAGUCCAGGGCUCAACCCUGGGAUGCCGGUGGAUACUGUCGGGCUCGAGUCCGGAAGAGGCGAGUGGAAUUCCUGGUGUAGCGGUGAAAUGCGCAGAUAUCAGGAAGAACACCCGUGGCUAAGGCGGCUCUCUAGUACGGUACUGACGCUGAGACGCGAAAGCGUGGGGAGCGAACAGG